RNAcentral lists this long non-coding RNA (467 nucleotides) under Musa acuminata (dwarf banana). RNAcentral's name for it is "long non-coding RNA (MACU_LNC002057)". Lineage: Eukaryota; Viridiplantae; Streptophyta; Magnoliopsida; Zingiberales; Musaceae. The record is from RNAcentral.
AUGCACCUCCCUAUCAACAUUUCUAGGAAUAUGAACAGCCUCAACAACUUUAGUGAACGAACUAAAAAUAUCCGGAAAACAAGGAGUGAAGGUACGAAGUCUAUUUAAAGCAAAAUUUAUUGGAGCCCCUGAUCAUGAGCUUUUUAAGUCCUUUGAUUAUUGCAUAGCUUUUAGCAUGAAGAGGGAUAGAGGCGUAGCAGGUCGAGGCACCUUCUGCAAGCCGUUUAACCAAAACCUGCACGCACAAUAGAUCAGAAUUAACUGAGCCAUAUAGGUUAUAGUUAGAACAGUUGAUUAUUGGCUAGAUGAUUUAGGGCAUACAGGUUUUGGAUGGGAGGAUAAGUCUCCUCAUAUUUUGUUCCGUAUCGGAUGGUGAGAGCCCUAGCCUGGUGGUUGUGAAAGCAUGAAUCAUUUUGGUUUGGCCAAGGAUGCCAUAAUGAGUUUGCAAUGAUGUCUCUUUAGUAGAG